Long non-coding RNA from Quercus robur (English oak), 1319 nucleotides. RefSeq lists it as uncharacterized. NCBI's taxonomy places the organism in Eukaryota, Viridiplantae, Streptophyta, Magnoliopsida, Fagales, Fagaceae. The record is from RefSeq and is a predicted model, not a curated record. The transcript has 4 exons.
ACUUAUUGCUGAAAACACUGUAGCAAAUAAGUAGGAAAACGAGUGUGAUAAAUUUAGCUGAAAGUACUGUAGCGCUGCUGAAAUUACUGUAGCAUAUAAAUUACAAAAUUUUACUCUGAUUUUCUUUUCCACUCCUCACCGUACCCUAGCUAAGCCUCUGAAGCGGAGAGUUCCACGCCCAUCCGAGAUUGAUGAAGGAAGACCUACAUCGGUCCGACGCCGGCGAAGAGCCCAGGUGAGAAAUCCAUCUAUCGGAAGACAACACCAGUCCGACGCCGGCGUCUUCUCUUCCUUCUAGAAACCCAUUUCACCCUUUUCCCUCCAUCCCUCGAGCUCCGACCCAUAACACAUCUCUUCCCAUAAAUAUAUGGGAAUGUAAAUUUUUUGAUUAGCAAGAUUUUUGGUUUUAUCUGCAAAUGGAUGUCAUAUUACCCAGUACUGAAGUGCCCAUAAUUUAAUUGUUUCAGUUAACCAUUGAAAGUGUUCAGAAGGCUGGCAAUGGUUGCUCAGAAACUUUGCAAAGGAAGGCAGAUUCAUUCAUACUUUCAUUAUGGAAAAGUUUGCCAUUAUAAAAUUCGUAACAUAAGCCCCCGAGAAAAAAAGACCACACUCACACCAAGCCAAGGUUUGAUCAGAGAAACACAGAGAGAGAAAGAGAACAGGUUUUUCAAAUUCUUCAAAGUCCAAGGUGAGUCCUCCUCUCUCCCCACUUUCCACCUCCAAAAACCCUAAUUUUCCCAGCUCCAAUAACUUCUUUUUUCAGAUCUUCAUCUACAUAUAGAAUUUUUUAUGUAUCCAUUUUUGUAUAUGUACUCACACACAUGCAUAAGUUCUUUUUGUUUAUCUUGUAUGCUAUAGAUGUUGGGUUUUGUUGGUGGGUUUUGAUAAUCUGUUUAAUUAGGGGGAAAAAGAUUCAAGAAGAAAUGGGAAAUUCAGUAGCAUUUGAAGAUUACAAGUUUCUUUUCCCCUUUUUUCUUUCCAUCCUUUUUAUUAUCUAUCUACCUGUUUUUAUACAGUCACAUACUUCAGUAGUUAUUGACAUAUGUAUUGAAUACGACAUGGUCAAUUAUAAGCCAAGUUUGAUAACCCAAAAGACAAAAAACAGAACAAAGAAAAAAAUAUUAUUGUUUCACAACAAUAGUACAUAAAGGCUAUUCAAUUACAAAAAAAACACAUGUACACGAUAGAAGAACCAAAAGCUGAAGCUAGAGAGAUAGAUAAACAUCAAAUGCAGUAAAAAAUGGGGGUUUAAGAGUGAUGGGGUUGGUGGGUUAGGAGUUAAGGCUUACCUUAGUGCACUUUCCUUGCGUGUAGUACAA